GACGAACGCUGGCGGCGCGCUUAACACAUGCAAGUCGAGCGACGAAAGGUCCUUCGGGACCCUGAAAGCGGCGAACGGGUGAGUAUCACGUGGGUAACCCACCCUCGGUACCGGGAUAGCCCGGGGAAACCCGGAUUAAUACCGGAUGGCCUCUCCGGUCUGCGGAUCGGCGAGAAAAGGUAGCUUCGGCCUCCGACCGAGGACGGGCCCGCGGCCGAUUAGCUUGUUGGCGGGGUAAUGGCCCACCAAGGCGA
RNAcentral lists this ribosomal RNA (254 nucleotides) under uncultured Actinomycetes bacterium. Its description in RNAcentral is "uncultured actinobacterium partial 16S ribosomal RNA". It matches the Rfam family "Bacterial small subunit ribosomal RNA", at positions 28 to 276 of the family's 1533-position model. Lineage: Bacteria; Bacillati; Actinomycetota; Actinomycetes. The record is from RNAcentral.